UGGGGAAUUUUGGACAAUGGGCGAAAGCCUGAUCCAGCAAUGCCGCGUGUGUGAAGAAGGCCUUCGGGUUGUAAAGCACUUUUGUCCGGAAAGAAAUCCUUGGCUCUAAUACAGUCGGGGGAUGACGGUACCGGAAGAAUAAGCACCGGCUAACUACGUGCCAGCAGCCGCGGUAAUACGUAGGGUGCAAGCGUUAAUCGGAAUUACUGGGCGUAAAGCGUGCGCAGGCGGUUUGCUAAGACCGAUGUGAAAUCCCCGGGCUCAACCUGGGAACUGCAUUGGUGACUGGCAGGCUAGAGUAUGGCAGAGGGGGGUAGAAUUCCACGUGUAGCAGUGAAAUGCGUAGAGAUGUGGAGGAAUACCGAUGGCGAAGGCAGCCCCCUGGGCCAAUACUGACGCUCAUGCACGAAAGCGUGGGGAGCAAACAGGAUUAGAUACCCUGGUAGUCCACGCCCUAAACGAUGUCAACUAGUUGUUGGGGGAUUCAUUUCCUUAGUAACGUAGCUAACGCGUGAAGUUGACCGCCUGGGGGAGUACGGUCGCAAGAUUAAAACUUAAAGGAAUUGACGGGGUCAUAGCUGUUUCCU
RNAcentral lists this ribosomal RNA (587 nucleotides) under uncultured bacterium. Its description in RNAcentral is "partial 16S ribosomal RNA". It matches the Rfam family "Bacterial small subunit ribosomal RNA", at positions 355 to 1375 of the family's 1533-position model. The record is from RNAcentral.